CACACGUGCUACAAUGGGUAGAACAGAGAGUCGCAAAGCUGUGAAGUGGAGCUAAUCUCAGAAAACUAUUCUUAGUUCGGAUUGUACUCUGCAACUCGAGUACAUGAAGUUGGAAUCGCUAGUAAUCGCGAAUCAGCAAUGUCGCGGUGAAUACGUUCUCGGGUCUUGUACACACCGCCCGUCACACCACGAGAGUUGGUUGCACCUGAAGUAGCAGGCCUAACCGUAAGGAGGGAUGCUCCGAGGGUGUGAUUAGCGAUUGGGGUGAAGUCGUAACAAGGUAUCCGUACGGGAACGUGCGGAUGGAUCACCUCCUUUCUAAGGAGAAAAAGUCUUUCUCUAUUCUAUUGGUAAUGUUCUUAGUAAUUAAGAGAGGAACAUUAAUCAAUCUGAACAUUGGAAACUAUAUAGUAGAACAAACAAGAAUAGAAAAUUAACUCUAACAAUUUCUUAGAGUUAGCUGUCAAAAAAUAGGUUAAAAUAAUUAAGGGCACACAAAGGAUGCCUAGGUAGUAAGAGCCGAUGAAGGGCGUGGUAAGCUGCGAUAAGCCUAG
Molecule: small RNA, 554 nt
Filed under: uncultured Fusobacterium sp.
Lineage: Bacteria; Fusobacteriati; Fusobacteriota; Fusobacteriia; Fusobacteriales; Fusobacteriaceae
Description: bacterial SSU rRNA
Rfam family: Bacterial small subunit ribosomal RNA (bases 1-318)
Source: RNAcentral